RNAcentral lists this ribosomal RNA (441 nucleotides) under uncultured bacterium. Its description in RNAcentral is "partial 16S ribosomal RNA". It matches the Rfam family "Bacterial small subunit ribosomal RNA", at positions 338 to 795 of the family's 1533-position model. The record is from RNAcentral.
CCUACGGGAGGCAGCAGUGGGGAAUAUUGCACAAUGGGGGAAACCCUGAUGCAGCGACGCCGCGUGAGUGAAGAAGGAUUUCGGGAGGUAAAGCUCUAUCAGCAGGGAAGAAGCAAGACGGUACCGGACGAAGAAGCCCCGGCUAACUACGUGCCAGCAGCCGCGGUAAUACGUAAGGGGCAAGCGUUAGCCGGAUUGACUGGGUGGAAAGGGAGCGUAGACGGUAUGGCAAGUCUGAAGUGACAGCCCAGGGCUUAACCCUGGGACUGCUUUGGAAACUGUUAGACUAGAGUGCUGGAGUGGUAAUUGGCAUUCCUCGUGUAGCGGUGACAUGCGUAGAUAUUCGGCGGAACCCCAGUGGCGAAGGCGGCUUACUGGACCGUACCUGACGUUGCGGCUCGACAGCGUGGGGCGCAAACAGGAUUAGAUCCCCUAGUAGUC